This 27-nucleotide non-coding RNA is filed under the name Bombyx mori (domestic silkworm). The record is from RNAcentral. Lineage: Eukaryota; Metazoa; Arthropoda; Insecta; Lepidoptera; Bombycidae.
UAUUACUGAUCGCCACUUUUCUCUUAC